GCUGCGGUAGCUCAGUGGUAGAGCACUCCCUUGGUAAGGGAGAGGUCGCGAGUUCAAUCCUCGCUCGCAGCACCA
This 75-nucleotide transfer RNA is filed under the name Candidatus Tokpelaia hoelldobleri. RNAcentral describes it as "Candidatus Tokpelaia hoelldoblerii tRNA-Thr". It matches the Rfam family "tRNA". Rfam says of the family: Transfer RNA (tRNA) molecules are approximately 80 nucleotides in length. The record is from RNAcentral. Lineage: Bacteria; Pseudomonadati; Pseudomonadota; Alphaproteobacteria; Hyphomicrobiales. RNAcentral also lists the same sequence under 3 other names.